GAGAGAGAGAGAGCAUGCACACACACACACACACACACACAUACACAGCUUCAGGAGCACAUUCUUACACGCCACAAAGCAGUUGCUUGGACGACCGAAGACAGAACGAAAGACGGGAAUCACAACACAGAGGAGAGGAAAAGGAAGAAGAACGAGAAGAGAUCUUGUGGGGGAGAUUACUACAAAGCAAGCAACUCCUCCAGCAGGUAAGAAGAGUUCUCCUCUCAUUCAUCCACUGCGCAUUCACGUCUUCUUUCAAAACUUUGGGUCUCGAUUGCGUACUAUUACAGUGAGAAAGGAAUGAGUUGAGUUGAGAGAAACGGGGUUUUGAUUGGAGGAGAGAGCGAACGCACAAUAAGGAGAAAAAUAAUCCACCUAAAAAAGAGAGAGAGAGAGAGAGAGAGAGAGAGAGAGAGAGAGAGAGAGAGAGAGAGAGAGAGAGAGACCGGUCUCCGAAGACAAAACAAGUUUGCGUUUUUCUCUUUUUCUCACACACAGAGGCAUGCCUGAUCCACAGGUAUCCACGGAAAUACUUUCAUACAUCUGAUUUUAAAUGCUCUAGAGCUCUACAGAACAGUUUAAGUCAGGCAGGUUGUUCCACCAUUUCAGAACCACAAAAGAGUCCAGUUUUAUUCUUAGUACUACCAGGUGGUAUCACCAGGUACAAUUCCCAGACUGUACUGAUCAUGAGGGGAAAUAAAUAGGUGAAGUGCUUUUGGUUACUCAAUUUUCAAGUAUAAAGAACUCCAUGAAGCCAGUGGAGGCUGGAGAUAAAGAGAGGGGCGUGACAUCCACAGACUUUUUGGAUUAUCGACUGGCACAGGGUAGCAAUAAAGGAACAAUGGGAUGGCUUCAAGGGCUCAGAGUAGACAAUUUGGCCAAAGAAGACCCUAAAGACCCUAGAAAUAAAUUGUCUAGGAGGGAAGCAAAAAGCUGAGCCAGAAGCCCACUCCUUAUAGAAAAAUCACAUACAUUUCACAUGAUCAUAUGUUUGUUUGUUUUUUCCCCCACACAAUACGUGAUACAUGAAUGUGAACGUGCUUAUCAACAUGCUACGCCCUGUGAGCCAAAUGAAACAUACGUGACAUCGGGUAAAUAAAUUACAAUUACAAUGUGGAACGUGAACAUGUGAAAAUAAUCGAAUUGUGUUUACGUAAGUCACGUGAAAAUGAAUCGAAUGCAAGUAAACAAAUCAUAUAAAAAUGUUUGAAAAUAAAGAUUUUCAUGUGUAAAAAUAAAUCCCAAGUGAAAAAUAAAUCAGGUGGAAAAAGUCACAUGUGGAAAAAAUAUGAAACACGUGAAGUGUUUAAAAACACAUUAGUCUAUGAAAGGAAGCUAUCAUUGCUGUGGAUACCCUGUGCACUGGUUCAGUGGUGCCAGAAGGUAGAGUCACAGUUCUCAUGCUUUGAGAUGGCGAGAGCCUGGACGAUGAAUUGGGUCACUCCAUGAAAACCGCAGCCAAACUGUGACAUGAGGGUAAAAUCCCACCUUCACGCUGACUUUACCAUAAAACAUAAUGGCAUACGGGUCAAAAAUAACAUCUCCACUCAAACAUGAGUUAUGAGGCAUCACAUUUACUGUAUUGCACAUGAAAAUAACAAUGAAUUUCCAUCCAUUUUCCAUACCACUUCUCCUACAUAGGGUUUGCAGGGAAGCCUGGAGCCUAUCCCAGGGGAUUUGGGCCACUUGGGACACCCAGGACAGGGUUGCAAUCCAUCACAGGG
Molecule: long non-coding RNA, 1724 nt
Organism: Ictalurus punctatus (channel catfish)
Lineage: Eukaryota; Metazoa; Chordata; Actinopteri; Siluriformes; Ictaluridae
Source: Ensembl